GAAAAUAUACAUCUUUAAAAACUUCACUAAAUGUAUGCCCUCAAAAUGGCCUUUUAUUCUCAGUUAGCAGACAUUUUCUUCCAAAAGAAAGAAAAACAUUUAUGACCAGCUCUCCUGAAGGCCAGGAUUCAUUCACUUCUUUACUCAUUUCAUAAAUAUUUAUGGAAUUUCUACUGUGUUCUUAAUGUUAUGAACAGGACUAAGGUUACAGUGGGUAACAAAAGGACAGCACCCCUGCUCCAAAGGAGGUAACUUGGAACCAGUGUGAUAAUACCUGAGAGCAUCUCAAAUUAUUCAGAGCAAUGCCAGGAAUCAGAAAUCCAAAGAUGAAUGAAACUCACGUCCUGCCAUGAUUGUUAACAGUAGUGCACAUAUACAGAUACGUAAAGAAGUAAUUACUUAAAAAUAAAAGCUUUGAGCCAUAAUCGCAAGAUCAUGAGGGAAGACAAGCAGUAUAAAGAUGGAGGAAGAGGAAAGGCUCAUUCAGGUGUGGAGAUUCCAUAAUGCAACUCAGAAUGGAAAUCUGGCAAAGUGCUUACCGAAGAUGUUGACACCAAGAAAAACAAACCUGUUAUCACAAAUGCUGCCUAUUUGCAAGAAGAUGUAUUUCUUCACAGAUGAUAUCAUGAGAUUUAUAUUUAUAUGUAUGUUUUGCAAUGACAUUAAAAUUUUCAACUU
Molecule: long non-coding RNA, 678 nt
Organism: Diceros bicornis minor
Lineage: Eukaryota; Metazoa; Chordata; Mammalia; Perissodactyla; Rhinocerotidae
Exons: 4
Source: RefSeq, a predicted model, not a curated record